AAAUCUGCGAUUGGCUUAAGCACAAAUCCGAUCAUUAAGAUAAAAACAUUUUUGCUGGUUGUAUUUGAAUCUUAUGGCUGUGUGUGCAAAAUACUAAAUAGCUGGCUACUUACGUUAUUAACAAUUCUUGAUAUCUUCUUUUCACUAUUUACUUUUAUGUAAAACCCUUUUUUGACAAAGUACUUUUAUGUAGAACCCAUGCAUCACGUGCUUUGUGACUCGAUAUUGUUCCUCUUUCCUUCCAAUUUGUUCUAUCACUUUUUCAUGUUAAACUGUUGUAGUCAUGAAUGUGCUUAUUUUCUUUGAAAUUUUUUUUUACUGAAUAUUUUUAUUUUCUUUGUAAAAUAUAAUGCAGAACUCAUUGUUUUUUUUUUUUUUGCUAAAUAGAACUCAUUGUUGGCAGGAACAAUAGAGCCUAAAUGAGAUUUAUAAGCAAAAGAUAGGUGCAUCUGAUAAUUAUAUAACUAGCAUGUACUGUAAAAC
This 483-nucleotide long non-coding RNA is filed under the name Brassica rapa (field mustard). RNAcentral describes it as "long non-coding RNA (BRAP_LNC002280)". Lineage: Eukaryota; Viridiplantae; Streptophyta; Magnoliopsida; Brassicales; Brassicaceae. The record is from RNAcentral.